CGGGUGAGUAACGCGUGGAUAACCUGCCUCACACUGGGGGAUAACAGUUGGAAAUGACUGCUAAUACCGCAUAAGCGCACAGUACCGCAUGGUACAGUGUGAAAAACUCCGGUGGUGUGAGAUGGAUCCGCGUCUGAUUAGCCAGUUGGCGGGGUAACGGCCCACCAAAGCGACGAUCAGUAGCCGACCUGAGAGGGUGACCGGCCACAUUGGGACUGAGACACGGCCCAA
Molecule: ribosomal RNA, 231 nt
Filed under: uncultured bacterium
Lineage: Bacteria
Description: partial 16S ribosomal RNA
Rfam family: Bacterial small subunit ribosomal RNA
Source: RNAcentral